RNAcentral lists this ribosomal RNA (445 nucleotides) under Trachurus trachurus (Atlantic horse mackerel). RNAcentral's name for it is "partial small subunit ribosomal RNA". It matches the Rfam family "Bacterial small subunit ribosomal RNA", at positions 7 to 794 of the family's 1533-position model. The record is from RNAcentral. Lineage: Eukaryota; Metazoa; Chordata; Actinopteri; Carangiformes; Carangidae.
CAAAGGUUUGGUCCUGACUUUACUGUCAGCUUUAGCUAGAUUUACACAUGCAAGUAUCCGCCUCCCUGUGAGAAUGCCCAUAGUGCCCUUUUCGGGAACAAGGAGCUGGUAUCAGGCACACGACCUACGUAGCCCACGACACCUUGCUUAGCCACACCCCCAAGGGAAUCCAGCAGUGAUAAAUAUUAAGCCAUAAGUGAAAACUUGACUUAGUUAAAGCUAAGAGAGCCGGUAAAACUCGUGCCAGCCACCGCGGUUAUACGAGAGGCUCAAGUUGACAGACAACGGCGUAAAGAGUGGUUAAGGAAAACAUUCAACUAAAGCGGAACCCCCUCACUGCUGUUAUACGCUUCCGAGGGAAUGAACCCCAACUACGAAGGUGGCUUUAUAUUAACCUGAACCCACGAAAGCUAAGAAACAAACUGGGAUUAGAUACCCCACUAUG